Molecule: ribosomal RNA, 932 nt
Filed under: Bacillus casamancensis
Lineage: Bacteria; Bacillati; Bacillota; Bacilli; Caryophanales; Bacillaceae
Description: bacterial SSU rRNA
Rfam family: Bacterial small subunit ribosomal RNA
Source: RNAcentral
UGGCGGAGGCGGCGUGCUAUACAUGCAGUCGAGCGACUUGCGGGAGCUUGCUCCCAAAAGUUAGCGGCGGACGGGUGAGUAACACGUGGGCAACCUGCCUGUAAGACUGGGAUAACUUCGGGAAACCGGAGCUAAUACCGGAUAACCCUUUUCCUCACAUGUGGAAAAGUUGAAAGAUGGCUUCGGCUAUCACUUACAGAUGGGCCCGCGGCGCAUUAGCUAGUUGGUGAGGUAACGGCUCACCAAGGCGACGAUGCGUAGCCGACCUGAGAGGGUGAUCGGCCACACUGGGACUGAGACACGGCCCAGACUCCUACGGGAGGCAGCAGUAGGGAAUCUUCCGCAAUGGACGAAAGUCUGACGGAGCAACGCCGCGUGAGUGAUGAAGGUUUUCGGAUCGUAAAACUCUGUUGUUAGGGAAGAACAAGUACCGUUCGAAUAGGGCGGUACCUUGACGGUACCUAACCAGAAAGCCACGGCUAACUACGUGCCAGCAGCCGCGGUAAUACGUAGGUGGCAAGCGUUGUCCGGAAUUAUUGGGCGUAAAGCGCGCGCAGGCGGUCUUUUAAGUCUGAUGUGAAAGCCCCCGGCUCAACCGGGGAGGGUCAUUGGAAACUGGGAGACUUGAGUGCAGAAGAGGAGAGUGGAAUUCCACGUGUAGCGGUGAAAUGCGUAGAGAUGUGGAGGAACACCAGUGGCGAAGGCGACUCUCUGGUCUGUAACUGACGCUGAGGCGCGAAAGCGUGGGGAGCGAACAGGAUUAGAUACCCUGGUAGUCCACGCCGUAAACGAUGAGUGCUAAGUGUUAGAGGGUUUCCGCCCUUUAGUGCUGCAGCAAACGCAUUAAGCACUCCGCCUGGGGGAGUACGGCCCGCAAGGCUGAAACUCAAAGGAAUUGACGGGGGCCCCGCACAAGCGGUGGAAGCAUGUGG